UACGUAGGGUGCAAGCGUUGUCCGGAAUUAUUGGGCGUAAAGAGCUCGUAGGCGGUCUGUUACGUCGGCUGUGAAAACCUGGGGCUCAACUCCGGGCCUGCAGCCGAUACGGGCGGACUAGAGUUCGGCAGGGGAGACUGGAAUUCCUGGUGUAGCGGUGAAAUGCGCAGAUAUCAGGAGGAACACCGGUGGCGAAGGCGGGUCUCUGGGCCGAAACUGACGCUGAGGAGCGAAAGCGUGGGGAGCAAACAGG
This 253-nucleotide ribosomal RNA is filed under the name uncultured bacterium. Its description in RNAcentral is "partial 16S ribosomal RNA". It matches the Rfam family "Bacterial small subunit ribosomal RNA", at positions 524 to 776 of the family's 1533-position model. The record is from RNAcentral.